UGCGUUUCUCCUCUUGAGCAG
Molecule: microRNA, 21 nt
Filed under: Homo sapiens (human)
Lineage: Eukaryota; Metazoa; Chordata; Mammalia; Primates; Hominidae
Description: hsa-miR-6854-3p
Source: miRBase by way of RNAcentral